This 533-nucleotide ribosomal RNA is filed under the name uncultured bacterium. Its description in RNAcentral is "bacterial SSU rRNA". It matches the Rfam family "Bacterial small subunit ribosomal RNA", at positions 355 to 902 of the family's 1533-position model. The record is from RNAcentral.
UGGGGAAUCUUGGACAAUGGGGGCAACCCUGAUCCAGCCAUGCCGCGUGAGUGAUGAAGGCCUUAGGGUCGUAAAGCUCUUUCGCCUGUGAAGAUAAUGACGGUAGCAGGUAAAGAAACCCCGGCUAACUCCGUGCCAGCAGCCGCGGUAAUACGGAGGGGGUUAGCGUUGUUCGGAAUUACUGGGCGUAAAGCGCACGUAGGCGGACCAGAAAGUUGGGGGUGAAAUCCCGGGGGCUCAACCCCGGAACUGCCUCCAAAACUAUUGGUCUAGAGUUCGAGAGAGGUGAGUGGAAUUCCAAGUGUAGAGGUGAAAUUCGUAGAUAUUUGGAGGAACACCAGUGGCGAAGGCGGCUCACUGGCUCGAUACUGACGCUGAGGUGCGAAAAGUGUGGGGAGCAAAACAGGAUUAGAUACCCUGGUAGUCCACACCGUAAAACGAUGAAUGCCAGUCGUCGGGUAGCAUGCUAUUCGGUGACACACCUAACGGAUUAAGCAUUCCGCCUGGGGAGUACGGUCGCAAGAUUAAAACUC